UACAGAGGUCUCAAGCGUUGUUCGGAUUCAUUGGGCGUAAAGGGUGCGUAGGCGGCGCGGUAAGUCGGGUGUGAAAUUUCGAGGCUUAACUUCGAAACUGCAUUCGAUACUGCCGUGCUUGAGGACUGGAGAGGAGACUGGAAUUUACGGUGUAGCAGUGAAAUGCGUAGAGAUCAUGAGGAAGACCAGUGGCGAAGGCGGAUCUCUGGACAGUUCCUGACACUGAGACACGAAGGCCAGGGGAGCAAACGGG
RNAcentral lists this ribosomal RNA (253 nucleotides) under uncultured bacterium. RNAcentral describes it as "partial 16S ribosomal RNA". It matches the Rfam family "Bacterial small subunit ribosomal RNA", at positions 524 to 776 of the family's 1533-position model. The record is from RNAcentral.